AGUUGGUGAGGUAAUGGCUCACCAAGGGCGACGAUCCGUAGCUGGUCUGAGAGGAUGACCAGCCUCACUGGGACUGAGACACGGCCCAGACUCCUACGGGAGGCAGCAGUGGGGAAUAUUGGACAAUGGGCGCAAGCCUGAUCCAGCCAUGCCGCGUGAGUGAUGAAGGCCUUAGGGUUGUAAAGCUCUUUCGCUAGGGAAGAUAAUGACGGUACCUAGAGAAGAAGCCCCGGCUAACUUCGUGCCAGCAGCCGCGGUAAUACGAAGGGGGCUAGCGUUGUUCGGAAUUACUGGGCGUAAAGCGCACGUAGGCGGACAUUUAAGUCAGGGGUGAAAUCCCAGGGCUCAACCCUGGAACUGCCUUUGAUACUGGGUGUCUUUGAGUACGAGAGAGGUGAGUGGAAUUCCGAGUGUAGAGGUGAAAUUCGUAG
This 431-nucleotide ribosomal RNA is filed under the name uncultured bacterium. RNAcentral describes it as "bacterial SSU rRNA". It matches the Rfam family "Bacterial small subunit ribosomal RNA", at positions 247 to 693 of the family's 1533-position model. The record is from RNAcentral.